UACGUAGGUGGCGAUCGUUGCCCGGAAUUACUGGGCGUAAAGGGAGCGUAGGCGGCCUUUUAAGUGAGAUGUGAAAUCCUCGGGCUCAACCUGAGUGCUGCAUUUCAAACUGGAAGGCUAGAGUGCAGGAGAGGAGAAGGGAAUUCCUAGUGUAGCGGUGAAAUGCGUAGAGAUUAGGAAGAACACCAGUGGCGAAGGCGCUUCUCUGGACUGUAACUGACGAUGAGGCUCGAAAGCGUGGGGAGCAAACAGG
This 253-nucleotide ribosomal RNA is filed under the name uncultured bacterium. RNAcentral describes it as "partial 16S ribosomal RNA". It matches the Rfam family "Bacterial small subunit ribosomal RNA", at positions 524 to 776 of the family's 1533-position model. The record is from RNAcentral.